Molecule: ribosomal RNA, 428 nt
Filed under: uncultured bacterium
Lineage: Bacteria
Description: bacterial SSU rRNA
Rfam family: Bacterial small subunit ribosomal RNA
Source: RNAcentral
UGGGGAAUUUUGGACAAUGGGCGCAAGCCUGAUCCAGCCAUGCCGCGUGUGGGAAGAAGGCCUUCGGGUUGUAAACCACUUUUGUCAGGGAAGAAACGGCUUUUGAUAAUACCGAGAGCUAAUGACGGUACCUGAAGAAUAAGCACCGGCUAACUACGUGCCAGCAGCCGCGGUAAUACGUAGGGUGCGAGCGUUAAUCGGAAUUACUGGGCGUAAAGCGUGCGCAGGCGGCUUUGCAAGACAGAUGUGAAAUCCCCGGGCUCAACCUGGGAACUGCAUUUGUGACUGCAUGGCUAGAGUACGGUAGAGGGGGAUGGAAUUCCGCGUGUAGCAGUGAAAUGCGUAGAUAUGCGGAGGAACACCGAUGGCGAAAGCAAUCCCCUGGACCUGUACUGACGCUCAUGCACGAAAGCGUGGGGAGCAAACAG